CAGGCCUAACACAUGCAAGUCGAACGAGAAAGCUCCCUUCGGGGGGUGAGUACAGUGGCGAACGGGUGAGUAACACGUGGGUUACCUGCCCUUGAGUGGGGAAUAACCCCGGGAAACUGGGGCUAAUACCGCAUACGACCCUUCGGGGUGAAAGCUUUAUGCGCUCGAGGAUGGGCCCGCGGUCGAUUAGCUUGUUGGUGGGGUAAUGGCCUACCAAGGCUUCGAUCGAUAGCCGGCCUGAGAGGGCACACGGCCACACUGGCACUGAGACACGGGCCAGACUCCUACGGGAGGCAGCAGUGGGGAAUUUUGGACAAUGGGGGCAACCCUGAUCCAGCGACGCCGCGUGAUCGAUGAAGGCCUUCGGGUCGUAAAGAUCUUUCAGCGGGAAAUAUUAUGAAGGUACCCGCAGAAGCAGGAGCGGCUAACUACGUGCCAGCAGCCGCGGUAAUACGUAGGCUCCAAGCGUUGUUCGGAAUUACUGGGCGUAAAGCGAGUGUAGGCGGUUUGCCAAGUCGAUUGUGAAAUCUCCCGGCUCAACUGGGAGGGUGCGGUCGAUACUGGCAAGCUAGAGUACGGAA
This 581-nucleotide ribosomal RNA is filed under the name uncultured bacterium. RNAcentral's name for it is "bacterial SSU rRNA". It matches the Rfam family "Bacterial small subunit ribosomal RNA", at positions 43 to 653 of the family's 1533-position model. The record is from RNAcentral.